UGGGAUGUAGCUCACUGGUAGAGUGCUUGCCUAGCAUGCAGGAAACCCUAGGUUUAAUCCCGCAUCACAA
This 70-nucleotide transfer RNA is filed under the name Mesocricetus auratus (golden hamster). It matches the Rfam family "tRNA". From Rfam's summary of the family: Transfer RNA (tRNA) molecules are approximately 80 nucleotides in length. Their secondary structure includes four short double-helical elements and three loops (D, anti-codon, and T loops). The record is from Rfam by way of RNAcentral. Lineage: Eukaryota; Metazoa; Chordata; Mammalia; Rodentia; Cricetidae.